Molecule: ribosomal RNA, 468 nt
Filed under: uncultured bacterium
Lineage: Bacteria
Description: partial 16S ribosomal RNA
Rfam family: Bacterial small subunit ribosomal RNA
Source: RNAcentral
GACGAACGCUGGCGGCGUGCUUAACACAUGCAAGUCGAACGGAAAGGCCCUGCUUUUGUGGGGUGCUCGAGUGGCGAACGGGUGAGUAACACGUGAGUAACCUGCCCUUAACUGUGGGAUAACUUCAGGAAACUGGGGCUAAUACCGGAUAGGAGCUCCUGCUGCAUGGUGGGGGUUGGAAAGAUUCGGCGGUGGGGGAUGGACUCGAGGCUUAUCAGCUAGUUGGGGGGGUAGUGGCUGACAAAGGCUUUGACGGGUAGCCGGCCUGAGAGGGUGACCGGCCACCAUGCGCCUGCGAUACGGAGCAGACUCGUAUGGGCGGCAGCAGUCGGGAGUCUGACGCAACGGGGGGAAGCCUGAUGUGGCAACGCCGCGUGCGGGAUGCCCGGUUACGGGGUGUAAACAGCUUUGUCAUGUGCUGAACCGUGCGUGACGGUACUGGGUAAAGAAGCACCGGCUAACUACGUG